This 86-nucleotide transfer RNA is filed under the name Candidatus Amesbacteria bacterium RIFCSPHIGHO2_01_FULL_48_32. Its description in RNAcentral is "tRNA-Leu". It matches the Rfam family "tRNA". From Rfam's summary of the family: Transfer RNA (tRNA) molecules are approximately 80 nucleotides in length. Their secondary structure includes four short double-helical elements and three loops (D, anti-codon, and T loops). Further hydrogen bonds mediate the characteristic L-shaped molecular structure. tRNAs have two regions of fundamental functional importance: the anti-codon, which is responsible for specific mRNA codon recognition, and the 3' end, to which the tRNAs corresponding amino acid is attached (by aminoacyl-tRNA synthetases). tRNAs cope with the degeneracy of the genetic code in two manners: having more than one tRNA (with a specific anti-codon) for a particular amino acid; and 'wobble' base-pairing, i.e. permitting non-standard base-pairing at the 3rd anti-codon position. The record is from RNAcentral. Lineage: Bacteria; Candidatus Amesiibacteriota. RNAcentral also lists the same sequence under 1 other name.
GCGGCGAUGGCGAAAUGGCAGACGCGCUGGCUUCAGGAGCCAGUGUCCGCAAGGACGUGUGGGUUCAACUCCCUCUCGCCGCACAA